Molecule: long non-coding RNA, 773 nt
Organism: Ictalurus furcatus (blue catfish)
Lineage: Eukaryota; Metazoa; Chordata; Actinopteri; Siluriformes; Ictaluridae
Exons: 3
Source: RefSeq, a predicted model, not a curated record
AGAAAGCACUCGUUACACCAUGUCCUUAUAUUCAAUUAAACCAAUUAACUCAGUGAAAUCUCUUCUGGCUCAGUGAGCACCACACUGGACCAAUAUCCUGUUUUUGUCUCCUCCUUGAAGAGGCUGUGGUUUAGAGCAGGGAGGUGGAACAGCUGGUCAUGCAGCUCUUACUGAAAAGCCAUGGGUAACUCUUCAUGCUGUUCAUCGUCACAGGAAAUCAUAAGAGCCUUAAAUCACAUUCCGAGUCCGUUGGCCGACUGACCGCGCGCUCAGGUGCAGUGUUACAGCAGCACGUCUUUUAACUUUAACUACAAGUUCACUGUGAGCCAUGCAGCAGAUACACGGGACUUUAGAGAACGUCGAGUGAAAAUCGGAGGCAGAACUGUCGGGCCGAGGCGGCGCACAUCCCUCACUGAUAACGCUGACAGAAAAUAAUAAUCCGGACAGGAAAAGAGACAGGCGGAGAAAUGGAGUGGGCUUCAUAUUCAGUAAUUACAUUCAACUGCAUUCAGCUGAGGAGGUUCAGCGCGUGGUUCACGGCGUGGUGGUGUGGGGGAGAGAGAACCUCGCUUCACAGCAACUUCACAGCAGAUCUGAUGGUUUAAAGAAGGAAUUUCAUCUGGCCUUGUGGAGUGUGUGCCUCUGGCUUGUGGUGGGAAAUGAUCGCCAUCGUGGAAGCACAUGUGAGGAGAUUUAAAACCAGCAGAUGUACAUCGCAGCAUCAGAAUACAGCCACUGGACCACAGACAGGGUCACCAGAUCACGGGGAGAAC